This 555-nucleotide ribosomal RNA is filed under the name Sciarosoma nigriclava. RNAcentral describes it as "eukaryotic LSU rRNA". It matches the Rfam family "Eukaryotic large subunit ribosomal RNA", at positions 402 to 797 of the family's 3401-position model. Lineage: Eukaryota; Metazoa; Arthropoda; Insecta; Diptera; Diadocidiidae. The record is from RNAcentral.
AAACCGCUUAGGGGUUAAGCCCGAUGAACCUGAAUAUCUGAAUUGAGAAAUUCAAUACUAUUUUAGUAAUUUAUCUAAACAAUAAAUGAACGAUGGUAUGCACUUUUCUCAUAGUAAGACAUUGCGAUCCAUUAGUAGUCUUUUUAGACGGUUUAUCAAACGGCCUGCAUGGUUAGUUUAUUCUAUCUGUAACACUUGUGUUAUAUGAAUAAUACCGUUGUGGUGACCUGGUAAACAGCUGAUGGAGCUCAUAAAUCAUGCAACCAUGCAUAUGUAUCACGGUUUAUAUAUUUUUUAAAUAUUUAGAUGCAGUGAUAGCAUGUAUUUGAUUAGCAAUGCGAUAGAUUUGGGAUACCUUCGGGACCCGUCUUGAAACACGGACCAAGAAGUCUAACAUGUGUGUAAGUCAUUGGGUAUAUUGUUGAAACCUAAAGGCGUAAUUAAAAUAACUAUUUAAUGGGAUUACAAGCAAUUUAAUACAUUGUUUCUCCAUCCCGGGGCGUUCUAUACGAACAUGGUUUAAGCAAUUAGACCCUCUGUUCAAGAGCGUACCUU